This 73-nucleotide transfer RNA is filed under the name Camelus bactrianus (Bactrian camel). It matches the Rfam family "tRNA". From Rfam's summary of the family: Transfer RNA (tRNA) molecules are approximately 80 nucleotides in length. Their secondary structure includes four short double-helical elements and three loops (D, anti-codon, and T loops). RNAcentral also lists the same sequence under 2 other names. The record is from Rfam by way of RNAcentral. Lineage: Eukaryota; Metazoa; Chordata; Mammalia; Artiodactyla; Camelidae.
AGGGAAAUAGCUCAGUGGUAGAGCUGCAUGCUUAGCAUGCAUGAGGUCCUGGGUUCAAUCCCCAGUACCUCCA